This 468-nucleotide ribosomal RNA is filed under the name uncultured bacterium. RNAcentral's name for it is "partial 16S ribosomal RNA". It matches the Rfam family "Bacterial small subunit ribosomal RNA", at positions 28 to 507 of the family's 1533-position model. The record is from RNAcentral.
GACGAACGCUGGCGGCGUACUUAACACAUGCAAGUCGAACGGAAAGGCCCUGCUUUUGUGGGGUGCUCGAGUGGCGAACGGGUGAGUAACACGUGAGUAACCUGCCCUUGACUUUGGGAUAACUUCAGGAAACUGGGGCUAAUACCGGAUAGGAGCUCCUGCUGCAUGGUGGGGGUUGGAAAGUUUCGGCGGUUGGGGAUGGACUCGCGGCUUAUCAGCUUGUUGGUGGGGUAGUGGCUUACCAAGGCUUUGACGGGUAGCCGGCCUGAGAGGGUGACCGGCCACAUUGGGACUGAGAUACGGCCCAGACUCCUACGGGAGGCAGCAGUGGGGGAUAUUGCACAAUGGGCGGAAGCCUGAUGCAGCAACGCCGCGUGCGGGAUGACGGCCUUCGGGUUGUAAACCGCAUUCGCCUGUGACGAAGCGUAAGUGACGGUAAUGGGUAAAGAAGCACCGGCUAACUACGUG